Molecule: long non-coding RNA, 1188 nt
Filed under: Ananas comosus (pineapple)
Lineage: Eukaryota; Viridiplantae; Streptophyta; Magnoliopsida; Poales; Bromeliaceae
Description: long non-coding RNA (ACOM_LNC009363)
Source: RNAcentral
AAAAAAAAAAAAAAAAAAAAAAAUUCCAGACGCUUUUCCGCUAUGUUUUAAACUAAAAGGGACCCCGGGGCGUGACAAAACCCAAAGCCAAAAACAAAACCAAAAUCAUAUAAAAACAUACUAUAUAUAAAAUACAAUUUUUAUAUAUCAUUUAAAAAUUAAUUUAAUAUUUAUAUAUUAAAUAGUCAAAUUUAGAUUUACAAAAAUUAUCUUGAAAUACCUAUUAGUGUUUUUAUUAUUGAUAAGAGAUAAAGGGUAAAAUUAAUAUUUUAAAAAUUUAACUCUAUUUCAGAUGAUUUUAAUGGAUAUUAACUAGUGGAGUGCAUUUGUGAUAAUUUUUAACAUGUUGGAGAGUAUUCGUGAUAUUAUCAAUUUUAAAAAGUUAUUGAUGAAAUUAACAGUUUCUAGAAGGGCAUCAAUGAAAUUAUCCCUAUAGUUAAAGGAGUGGUGCAAGGGUAGAAAUGGUAUUUACACCUUAUUCCGUUAGAUUCUAACGGUACAUAACGUGUAGGGGUAUUUAUGAAUUUUUUUAAAAUUUAGAAGGGCAUUGAUAUUUUGAAUUUUAGAGGGCUAUUGAUGAAAUUUCAGUCUCCUAUAGUGGCAUCUAUGAAAUUUUCCCUAUAUUUUAAUUGCCCCAGUGCUCUUUGCUAAGUAUUUUUAUUAAGUUCAGGCAAGUUUUUCGUGCAUCUACUUCAUUUUAUUUUUAUUUUGCAUCGUAUUAAUUAUGAUGAUAUACAAUAAUUCUUCUAAUUUGUUAUCCCAUUCUAUCUGUGUCAUUUUAUUUUGGAAAAACUUCAAAAACCCCCCUUGUGGUUUCAAUUUUUUUCACUUUAGUACCCUGUGGUUUAAAAUGUAUCAAAUUAGUACCCUGUGGUUUCUCACUUUAUCACUUUAGUACCCUGUGGUUUAAGUUGUAUCAAAUUAGUACCCUGUGGUUUUGCACUUUAUCACUUUAGUAUCCUGUGGUUUUAAUUUUGUAUCAAGUACCCUGUAGUUUUUUAAACCAUAGGCUACUAAAGUGAUAAAGUGUGAAACCACAUGGUACUAAAGUUAUAAAGUGAAAAACUACAUGGUAUUAACUUGAUACACUUUAAACCACAGGGUAUUAAAGUGAUAAAGUGAGAAACCACAGGGUACUAACUUGAUACACUUUAAACCACAAGGUACUAAAAUAAAAAAGUGUGAAAC